Molecule: ribosomal RNA, 253 nt
Filed under: uncultured bacterium
Lineage: Bacteria
Description: partial 16S ribosomal RNA
Rfam family: Bacterial small subunit ribosomal RNA
Source: RNAcentral
UACGUAGGGGGCGAGCGUUGUCCGGAUUUAUUGGGCGUAAAGAGCGCGUAGGCGGCCAGGUAGGUCUGCUGUGAAAACUCGAGGCUCAACCUCGAGACGUCGGCGGAAACCAUCUGGCUAGAGUCCGGAAGAGGAGAGUGGAAUUCCUGGUGUAGCGGUGAAAUGCGCAGAUAUCAGGAAGAACACCCGUGGCGAAGGCGGCUCUCUGGGACGGUACUGACGCUGAGACGCGAAAGCGUGGGGAGCGAACAGG